CUCAGGAGAAAGUGAUAGAAACGCAAAGCCCCCUCCACCUCUCCACAGCUGCUUACAGAAGGAGAAGCCCUGAUAAACACAUCACCUAGGCUUUGCCUUAGGAGCAGCCCAGCUUUCCUCUGGUUGAUGUAUUGAUGCUGACCAGAGGGAGUCAGGGCAGCGGGGCUGGACUUUCCUGUGGCUGCCGUACAUGUGCACGGAUGCCUUCACUGUGCUGGAGAGCUGCCCCCUGACCCUGGCUGCUUUCACUUGCAAAGCAAACUCCUGGCCUAUGGAAAUCGGCCCAUUUCCAUGUCACUUUAACGUCCCUUCCCACCCUGCGUGAGACCAUUCCCACCAGUGUCGCUGCUGGACGCUGCAAUGGCAGGAACCGAGCCCAUCAGCAUCCUUGGGCUUAUCCUGGGCAUCAGCCUGGCCUUGCUGCUCCUGGGUAUCCUGAGCUACACCAUUCUUAAGUGGUACCUGAGAGGACCAGGCUGGCAUCGUCCUAAUUUUGUUUUCAACCUGUAUCACAUCCGCAGCCUGAAGUCUGUGGAAGUGGAGCUGGCCCCGCCGUUCACAGUCAGUGGCUCCAUGAGCAACAUGGAAAGUGGCUACAUGCGGUUCCAUAACAGAAACAUGUGAUGCUGCGAAGCCAGAGAUACUGAUGCUGCAAGGUGAGAGGCUGCACUGGUUCACUUCCUCCAGGACAGGGAGCAGGGGCGGCUGAUCAUUAGCCAUGGGCGUCUUUAUCUCAGACCCUCCUAAGAAUCUCUGUUUGAUUCAGCUGCGAUAUAAAAAAGUCACUUUGAAACUGGGGAGGCGUGUGCCACUUGUAAACCUUGGGCAGGGCAAUCCCUUUUCC
Molecule: long non-coding RNA, 844 nt
Filed under: Gopherus agassizii (Agassiz's desert tortoise)
Lineage: Eukaryota; Metazoa; Chordata; Testudines; Testudinidae
Description: lncRNA (ENSGAGG00000006521.1)
Source: RNAcentral